This 2429-nucleotide long non-coding RNA is filed under the name Sus scrofa (pig). RNAcentral's name for it is "lncRNA (ENSSSCG00045035374.1)". The record is from RNAcentral. Lineage: Eukaryota; Metazoa; Chordata; Mammalia; Artiodactyla; Suidae.
AUUGAACCCGCAACCUCAUGGUUCCUAGUGGGGUUCGUUAACCACUGUGCCAUGGCGGGAACUCCCCUUGGGUGUUGUAAUAUUUUAAAAUCUGUCUAGCUUUUAAAAAUUAUAACUGUGUUAAAAAUGUUGUAGCUGUACUCAUAAAAGUCUAAAUUUGGAACUUCUGGUUGUAAAUCCUACAUAUUACCUGUCCUAUGUGAGAAACGCAUCUUUGUGAACUUUUGCUUCAUCUUUUAGGUAAAUGAUUAGAACAUGCUUUGCUUCUCCUGUCUUGCAGGGAGACUGACUGUGACCCUGACUGUGAAAUCUGUGUUCCUGAUAGAAUUAUAUAGAUACAAUCUUCUACUAAUAGCAGCACUUUGGCUUAGUGGUGGCUGGAUCUGUAUUAAUAUUUUGGGUCUUAAUUGGUGACUGGAUCGACAGGAAACCAAAAAAGAAAGAAGGGAGCUGGAACAGUUCUGGCACUGCUGGCUCACCGUGUCUUCCAUCCACCCUGUGUGCCGUGAGAGUAAACGUCAGAGGCAAGACGCGAAUGCCCUUCAGUGAGUCAUCUCUGGGUGGUCCUGCUCACUGAUUUGGGAUCUAACUAAUCUUUAAGCAGUGUUCUCCUCACCCGUAAUUUUCAAAUCAGAGCCUAAAUCUCACAGACAUGCAGGCAAUGGAACAGCAGCGUCUCUGUCUGCAAGGUGGUCUGCUAUGCAGUUAUGAUCACUCUGGUGGCCUUGGCGAACCUGGCCAGCAUGGCACUGACCAUCACCAUUCGGAGAGACUGGGUUGUGAGCCAGGUGACAGCAGAGGCCAGCUGGCUGGUGAGCUGUGCCACCCCAAGACACAACGGAGCAUCACAGCUUCUCUAAUCUGCUGAGAAGUAGGUCUGGUGUGGUGAAUAGAGUUUGGGUGCUCUGAGAAAUGCAGUACUGUAGCCUUUAAGAGAACGUAUUUGGGAGUUCCUUUUGUGUCUCAGUGGGUUAAGAACCCAUUAGUAUCCAUGAGGAUGCAGGUUUGAUUCCUGGCCUCACUCAGUGGGUUAGGGAUCCGGCAUUGCCACAAGCUGUGGUAUAGGUUGCAGAUGCAGCUUGGAUCUGGCAUGGCUGUGGUGUAGGCCAGUGGCUGCAACUUUGAUUCAGCCCCUAUCCUGGGAACUUCUAUAUGCUGUAGGUGAAGCCCUAAAAAGCAAAAAGAAAAAAAAAGAAAAGAGAGAGAAAGAAGGUAUUUGGAGUCAAAGAGACCUGGAUUUGAAUCCAGCCAAAACCAACUACGGCAAGUUAACUAACCAGCUGCAAGUUAACUAACUUCCCUAGACUUUACUUUGCUCAUCUGUAGAAUGGGGAAAUUAUGACAACCCCCCACCUUGCCAUCACUCAGUUUGGGGAAGGCUUCUGUGAGAUAGGGGAUUUGUGAAGCACUUAGCAUUGUAUCUGCAUGUAGGAAGCGCAGAAGAAAUGGAUGAUGCCAUUAUUAUCAAAAAGAUGUACAGAGUGUACUUUGGGGAGAGGAGCCCCUUUGAAUAUAUUACAGAGGUUCUUUUUGGUAAUUUUAGAGUUGGAAAAUAAAUUACAAGAUUUCUUAAUUCUGGCCAGUGAUAAGCUUCUAUUUUCCCCAGAAAAUUCAUCACCAAAUGUGACUGUUGAUUAUUUUAAUCACUGAUAGUGAGACGCAGAAUUUUUUUUUUCAAUACUGGAGCUCGGUGAAAGAAUCUGGCAUCUUCUUUAUUUUUUUUCUUCCGCUUAUAAAUCUUGGAUCCCUCACAUCAUGAGAUAUUCAAAUCGCUAUCCUAAAGCUGGAGCUCUUGUCCUACCCUAUAUUUGUGCAAUUGGUACUCUGCUAGAAAAUGUUCAUGAGUGUGAUAGCCCAGAUAAAGGAAGCUGUUAUAGAGCCAUCUAUUAAAAUACACUCCUUGCAAAGUAUCGAAGCCCCUUAUAAUCAUGUUUUCUUCUAAACUACACUUAUUUGGAUGCACUGUGUCUUAAAUAACAGCCCCCAGAAUAAAACAGCUAUGUGGGUAAAAGCCGGGUGAUAUGGCGUUGAAAGUGUCCUCUAUCUCUGGGUAAAAGAAAAUCUUCCUACUCACUAUUAAUUAAUUUUGAAGAAAUCUAAAAUAAAGCACAGAUUGAGAUUUGAGGUUUAUUCUAGCUUAAAAAAAAGCUCGUGCAGUUCUUGCUGUUGCACAGUGGGUUAAGAAUCUGAGUGCAGUGGCUUGGGUUGCUACAAAGAUGCAUGUUCAAUCCCAGCCCAACACAGUUGGGUUAAGGAUCUGAAGUUCACAGCUUCAGCUUGGAUUCAGUCCCUGACCCUGGAACUUCCAUAUGGUGAGCGUGCCACCAUUAAAGAAAAAAUCAUCUUAUAAAUACGUUCUUUAAUGAUGGUGGCAUAGUUAAAAGAUUUGGGGUCAGAUGGCCUGGGUUUGAAUCUCACUUCCACCAUUU